AAGACCUUGCGCUUUUGGAGCGGCCGAUGUCUGAUUAGCUAGUUGGUGGGGUAAUGGCCUACCAAAGCUUCGAUCAGUAGCUGGUCUGAGAGGACGGCCAGCCACACUGGGACUGAGACACGGCCCAGACUCCUACGGGAGGCAGCAGUGGGGAAUUUUGGACAAUGGGCGCAAGCCUGAUCCAGCCAUGCCGCGUGAGUGAAGAAGGCCUUCGGGUUGUAAAGCUCUUUCAGCCGGGAAGAAAAGGCUGCGACUAAUAAUCGCAGUUCAUGACGGUACCGGAAGAAGAAGCACCGGCUAACUACGUGCCAGCAGCCGCGGUAAUACGUAGGGUGCGAGCGUUAAUCAGAAUUACUGGGCGUAAAGGGUGCGCAGGCGGUUUUGUAAGUCAGAUGUGAAAUCCCCGGGCUUAACCUGGGAACU
This 423-nucleotide ribosomal RNA is filed under the name uncultured bacterium. RNAcentral's name for it is "bacterial SSU rRNA". It matches the Rfam family "Bacterial small subunit ribosomal RNA", at positions 207 to 622 of the family's 1533-position model. The record is from RNAcentral.